AGCAGUGUGGUGUAGUGGUUUGAGCAUUAGACUAUGAGUCUGGAGACCAGGGUUUGAAUCUCUGCUCUACCA
Molecule: non-coding RNA, 72 nt
Organism: Phrynosoma platyrhinos (Desert horned lizard)
Lineage: Eukaryota; Metazoa; Chordata; Lepidosauria; Squamata; Phrynosomatidae
Source: the annotation of a GenBank genome assembly